This 254-nucleotide ribosomal RNA is filed under the name uncultured bacterium. Its description in RNAcentral is "partial 16S ribosomal RNA". It matches the Rfam family "Bacterial small subunit ribosomal RNA", at positions 524 to 776 of the family's 1533-position model. The record is from RNAcentral.
UACGUAGGAGGCGAGCGUUGUCCGGAAUUACUGGGCGUAAAGAGCGCGUAGGCGGCAUGGUACGACCGGUGUGAAAGCCCCCGGCUCAACUGGGGAGGGUCACGGGUAACGGCUAUGCUCUGAGUGCAGGAGAGGGAAGUGGAACUCCGGGAGUAGCGGUGAAAUGCGUAGAUACCCGGAGGAACACCAGUGGCGAAGGCGGCUUCCUGGCCUGUGACUGACGCUGAGGCGCGAAAGCUAGGGGAGCGAACGGG